CCUAACAGCCUAACUCCCUCCCUAACUCAGCACGCAGCAGCCACCCCACCCCAAUCUAUCAUCUCUCUCUCGGUUGCCGGCGACCGGCGACACGCACUCCGGCGCGACGGCACACUCCGACACGACGGCGGCUCAUCUUUCCAGCGAAGAUCCGACGAUCUUAACAGCAGCAGCAGUGCAGCACGGUCCGGCGCGACAUUAGCAUCAUCUGCCACCACCGGUCACCGGGCACCGGCUGCUUCCCAGCUCGGCGCGACAACAGCAGCGACACCAACGACUCUCCACUCCUCGGCGCGACAGCAGCAGUGCAGCACGAUCUGCCAUUUAAGGUUCUAUUUUCUCUUAAAUCUUGUUGAAAUCUUGCUGAAAUCUUGUUGUCUAUGAAAUAUUGCAUAAAAGUCUUGCUGGGUAAUUGUUCUUGAUUUUGAGUGCUGACUGCUGCGUGAAAUUCUUUGCGGGUUUGAUCCCUAAUUUUUGUGGGUUGUUUAUUUUUUUUCAAUCAUGAAAAGCAAGGUUUGAAAAAUUUCCCCCUUUUGUUUUGCUGCUUCAUUCGAGGAAACCCCUAAAUUCUUGUUGGGUUUGGGGUUGAGUUGGGUUUAGCUGAGAAUGGAGCUGUAAAUUUCGAACAAGUUGAUAGGAACAUGAACCUUUUUGCUAAUGUAGUCCCUGAUGAUCUUGAUGGCUCAAGUUUUGGUGGUGUUGAGGGCUCCAAUAUAUGGGAUUACUACCUAAAUUUUGAUAUGUUUUUAAGGUAAGAUUCUUCUAAUUGUGGUCUGCAAAGACAAAAAAAAAAAAAAUAGAUCAUGAUUUGUGUGGUAGCAUUUCACAAGUAUAUAUGAUCAUAUAAGUAUGCAUCAGAAAUGAAAUUUGGUAAUUAGCAAGAUAACUUAUAAAAGGAGAGAAUAGCAAACACCAUCUGCACUAUACCAACUGAGAGCAGAACAGCAGCUGUCUAUAACCUCAUAAACUCUAGCAUCCCCACCUAAACAGUUGCUUAUCACCCCAUAGUGUCGCAGCAGCUCUGCAUCCUCGGAGUUGCACAUUAGGCAUUUAAGGAAGAACGCGUAGUCACUAAUGCACUUGGGCUUAUUUCUUGGGAGAUAGAAUUCAUAUGCAAUCAUGUUUCUGAGCCACGACUCCUUUUCAUCUGUCAUUUCUAGAGCAAGGUUUAUCUUUAGAUCUCAAAGGUUUAUCUUUAAAUUCUGACUUAGAAUGUUCUCUUUUUUUUUUUUUCCAGUUAUUUGCUUUGUUUUUGUUUCAUGUAUCUGGAAGGGGUCUUCUUCAUAUGCCUUGUUAUUUGUUAAUUGAUGUUCUUUAUAUUUUUUUUGUAUGCAGCCCUUAACACGGUGUUCGACUGUUGGUAUUGGAGAGACGACUUCAUGUUGUAGGCUUGUGGCACUAUCUAUAAGAAGAAGCUGCAAAUUUAUGUUUUUAUGUUG
This 1439-nucleotide long non-coding RNA is filed under the name Salvia miltiorrhiza (redroot sage). RNAcentral's name for it is "long non-coding RNA (SMIL_LNC008086)". The record is from RNAcentral. Lineage: Eukaryota; Viridiplantae; Streptophyta; Magnoliopsida; Lamiales; Lamiaceae.